Molecule: long non-coding RNA, 2399 nt
Organism: Vicia villosa (hairy vetch)
Lineage: Eukaryota; Viridiplantae; Streptophyta; Magnoliopsida; Fabales; Fabaceae
Exons: 6
Source: RefSeq, a predicted model, not a curated record
AAUCAACCCAUUUCCGCCACGUCUGUGUCAAAAUUUCCCUCCUACACAUAACUUGAAUUUGCAAUUCAUUCUCUCUCAUGUUCUCUCUUCUCCUCUCACUUUUCCAAAUCCCUUCUUAUCCUCUCUUCAAACCCUAAUAAUGUCACAGCCCCUUCCUUCAAUCCUAUCUACGUCCACCACUGCCUCUCACAAAAAUACGAAAUUCAUUUUGGUACUCAUCAUCUCAUGACCUUUCUCGGUUGGAUUUUUGAUUCAAGCUAUCUAUUGAUUCACUACUCACCAAUUUUUUGUUAGAUUUUAAGCUGAAAAUGGAUACAAAGAGAAAAUGGUGAGAUUAGGGUUUAUUAGGUUUAAUGUUUGAUUAUGUUUCUGUAAGAUUUACUUCCUUUAUCUUUUUGUUUUCAAUCUUUCAUUUCUGCUCCAUAUACUUCCUUUAUCUAUUUGUUUUCAAUCUUCAAAACAGAGAAAGUGGUGAGAUUCUUUGUUUUUGAUGGAUCAUUAUUAGUGUUGAUUUUAUAGACCUGAAGACUUGGUUUUUUUUUAUGUUUCUGCAAUAUUAAUGCACAAGUAGCUGUUAAUAGAAAGAAAACGGCAUUACAUCUUCGUCUUACAUGUAGAUCGAUUUUGAAGAUAUGGAAAUAAGAGACAAAGAAGUUUUAUUUGCCAAGGAGGUUCUGCAGGAUGUCCUUGGCGUUCAUGAUGUUAUAUGCUCAAUACUUCGUAUAUGCAUUUUGUUUGUUUCUUAGGUUUUGAAUUUUUAACCACUAGACAUAUUUAAUAAAAGAGCCCUUGAGUUUGUUGUUGAUCUAAGCAUGUAUUACCUUGCUUCCAAAAAUCUCUGUACAGAUAUUUUUUGUUAAAGUGGAAAAAUGGAAGACUACUUGAUGUUUAUAUGCAUAUUUAAGAUCUCACCUUCUGGAACUGAAUCAGUAACCAUGGAAGCUAAAAAAAAGGUGCUGCUAUGCUUGGACAGAAGAAACCUGUUCAUAGAAAAUCUAGACACUUUUGGACAGAACUUCAAAGUAUAGAGGUGUCACGAGAUUAUAUGCUGCUCGACGGGAUAAUUGCAUUUUGCAACCUAAAUAACUUGCAUAUUGAGCAUUGAUGUCAUAUUUAAAGAUGAAUUAUCACGGGAUCCUUACAAAGUUAUGUAAAUCUCCUUCCUUCUGGCCUUUAAGUUUGGGAAUAUUUGUAGAAAGAAAUUCAUUCUGAAGAUUAAUGAAUAAUCAGAUACUAGCAUAGCAUAAUUAAUGAUUGUUUAACAAUUGGUAUUCUGAAAAAAAUCACUUCAAGUUAACUUAACAAGAGGACCGUGGCUGUGAUUUGGGUUGUGAUAUCAAUUUUUUAUCUUUGUCCCCACAACACGACUGCAAUUGAGAACCCGCAUUAGAUCCACUCGACCGCGAUUCUCUGCAAUAACAAAAAUUGCAAAGCCAUCGUAAUUCAAAACCAUCUAGCCAGCCACCAUCAUGAUUGCUGAUUGCAAAUGUUUCCGACAUGACCUAUAUAUGAGGGGACUUGAGAAGAAUGUUGCCUAGAUAUGUCAUCCUCACUGUAUGUAUAGUAGGUGUUCACUUGCAUUACAUUGAAAAUUACUGUCCAAAUGGUUGAGAUUUUCUAUUUCUAGAACUCACAAUUGUAUAAUACAAAUAGUUGAGAUUCACACACAUAAUCUGGAUCCAGCAUACCUGUCUGCAUUUUGGCAUGGUUUGUAUUAUGUGCUUCCCAAACCAUUCGAACAGAGAUUUAUAUCAUUUGUCACUUGAUUUUUUUGAACAAAUAUAGUGUUUGUAUUAGUUGAAAUGGAGACUAUUGUAGUUUCAAAAUGUUGCAGUGAACUUGAUAAUAAUAGCCACAUUAGUUUUACCUUAUACAUUAGCACACUAGCUAAAAAUGCAUGCUACUGCUAUUAGUUUCAAUGUAAUGUAAUUGUAUCUACAUUAAUAAAAUCACUUUUUUAAGAAAUUGAAAACUACUUUCAUUUUCAUGCUUAUGCUACAUCAUGUUUCUAUGUCGGCAUAAUUGGGACUGGUUGGGUGCAAUAUUUAUGCGGAUAUUGGAGUCUGUUAGCUUGGCUUAGACAUUUGAAUUAUUUUGUGGAUACAUAUUUUAAUCUAUUUUGUCAAUAAUAUAGAAGUAUAUAAUUUUAUAUACAGUGAAAUAAUUCAUUUUUGGAGAAACCAACCACCAACUACAAUGAUUCUAUCAUACAAAUAAAAUAUGAUUUUUCCUAGUACAAAUAGUAGAAUAUUAGUGUCCUGAUUAAAAGCUAAAAAGGAACACACAUUCUCAUGAUACACCUACUAAUAAAAUACACCUUUUAACAAAAGUAAUAAGAAGCUAUUAUAUUACCAUAAAAUGUUGAACAAUCAAAAUUAUUCACUACUAAGUUCAAUUCA